GUUGGAAAUCGAAGCCAAAAAAGCAACAGAUGAACUGUUUGUUUGAGACGUACUUUUUUUGAUUUGUUAAUGGGAGGGCACACAUUUUGCAUUUAAGUUCUUGUUUAUGGGAGGUUAAGAGCCCUUUUUAGGUAACAACAUCAUAUUAGAAAGCAUAUUCCAUUCCCGAUAUUAUCAUAUGUAUUUCUGUUAUUUAAAUGUAAUUUAUGUCUCUUCUUUGGCUAAAAGUGUUUAUAUAUGAUUAACAUUGAAUACAUCUUUGUGUUAUGUAUGUUUAUGUACUUCAGC
Molecule: long non-coding RNA, 288 nt
Filed under: Mytilus galloprovincialis (Mediterranean mussel)
Lineage: Eukaryota; Metazoa; Mollusca; Bivalvia; Mytilida; Mytilidae
Source: RNAcentral